GGGUGCGAUCAUACCAGCACUAAUGCACCGGAUCCCAUCAGAACUCCGCUCUUAAGCGUGCUUGGGCGAGAGUAGUACUAGGAUGGGUGACCUCUUGGGAAGUCCUCGUGUUGCACCCC
RNAcentral lists this ribosomal RNA (119 nucleotides) under Macleaya cordata. Lineage: Eukaryota; Viridiplantae; Streptophyta; Magnoliopsida; Ranunculales; Papaveraceae. The record is from RNAcentral.